AUGAGCAAAAGAAAAAAGAGAGAGAGAGAGAGAGAAGAUGGACAAACCAAGAAACAGACUGUUAACUUCGGAGAACAAACUGGUGGUUGCCAGAGGGGAGCUGGGAAAAAACCCCACAUCUGUAGUGCAAAAGCAAGCAUCUUAAUAUUUUGUAAAAAGAUAUUCGAUCAAAA
RNAcentral lists this long non-coding RNA (173 nucleotides) under Mustela putorius furo (domestic ferret). RNAcentral describes it as "lncRNA (ENSMPUG00000024102.1)". Lineage: Eukaryota; Metazoa; Chordata; Mammalia; Carnivora; Mustelidae. The record is from RNAcentral.